UGAACGCUAGCGGCAGGCUUAAUACAUGCAAGUCGAACGGCAGCAUCACCUUCGGGUGGAUGGCGAGUGGCGCACGGGUGAGUAACGCGUACAGAAUCUGCCCUUAACUGGGGGAAAGUCGCUGGAAACGGCGAAUAAUCCCGCAUAAGACCACAGUAUCACAUGUUACAGGGGUCAAAGCUUCGGCGGUUAAGGAUGAUUGUGCGUCCCAUUAGCUAGAUGGUAAGGUAACGGCUUACCAUGGCGACGAUGGGUAGGGGGCGUGAGAGCGUGGACCCCCACACGGGUACUGAGACACGGACCCGACUCCUACGGGAGGCAGCAGUAAGGAAUAUUGGUCAAUGGAGGAAACUCUGAACCAGCCAUGCCGCGUGUGUGAUGAAGGCCCUACGGGUUGUAAAGCACUUUUAUCUAGGAAGAAUGACAGGGAUUUAUCCUUGGAGAGACAGUACUAGAUGAAUAAGCACCGGCUAACUCC
RNAcentral lists this ribosomal RNA (478 nucleotides) under uncultured bacterium. RNAcentral describes it as "bacterial SSU rRNA". It matches the Rfam family "Bacterial small subunit ribosomal RNA", at positions 30 to 504 of the family's 1533-position model. The record is from RNAcentral.